GAGUAAAGAUUUCGGUCGCUUUGGGAGGAGCUCGCUUACUAUCAGCUUGUUGGUAGGGUAAUGGCCUACCAAGGCUAUGACGGUUAGGGGGUGUGAGAGCAUGACCCCCAGCAUUGGCACUGAAACACUGGCCAAACACCUACGGGUGGCUGCAGUCGAGAAUCUUCCACAAUGGGGGAAACCCUGAUGGAGCGAUGCUGCGUGCGGGAUGAAGGCCUUCGGGUUGUAAACCGCUUUUGUAGGGGACGAAAUUUUUGACGGUACCCUUUCGAAUAAGAGGUUGCUAACUCUGUGCCAGCAGCAGCGGUAAUACAGAGACCUCAAGCGUUAUCCGGAUUUACUGGGCGUAAAGCGUCUGUAGGGGGUUUAUUAAGUUCCAAGUAAAAUUUCAAGGCUCAACUUUGAAUUCGCUUGGAAAACUAAUAAACUGGAGUCUAGCAGAGGUGCAUGGAACUUGUGGUGUAGGAGUGAAAUCCGUUGAUAUCACAAGGAACACCAAAGGCGAAGGCAUUGCACUGGGCUAGCACUGACCCUGAGAGACGAAAGCGUGGGGAGCAAAACGGAUUAGAUACCCGUGUAGUCCACGCCCUAAACGAUGAAUGCUAAAUGUUCGGGGAUUCGACCCCCUGGGUGUUACAGCUAACGCGUUAAGCAUUCCGCCUGGGAAGUACGGCCGCAAGGCUAAAACUCAAAGGAAUAGACGGGGAUCCGCACAAGCGGUGGAGCGUCUGGUUUAAUUCGACAGUAAGCGUGGUACCUCACCAGGGUUUGACAUCCCUUGACAGCCUUGGAAACAAGGUUUCCUUCGGGCAAGGUGACAGGUGCUGCAUGGUCGUCGUCAGUUCGUGCCGUGAGGUGUUCCGUUAAGUCGGGAAACGAACGAAACCCCUAUUGCAUGUUACAAUUUCUCAUGCAAGACUGCCCGGAUAUACUGGGAGGAAGGUGGGGAUGACGUCAGAUCUGCAUGGUCCUUAUACCCUGGGCGACACAGGCGCUACAAUGGCAGAGACAAAGGGUUGCAAAACCGCAAGGUGAAGCUAAUCCCAAAAACUUUGUCUAAGUUCGGAUUGAAGGCUGCAAUUCGCCUUCAUGAAGCUGGAAUCGCUAGUAA
RNAcentral lists this ribosomal RNA (1111 nucleotides) under uncultured organism. RNAcentral describes it as "bacterial SSU rRNA". It matches the Rfam family "Bacterial small subunit ribosomal RNA", at positions 199 to 1341 of the family's 1533-position model. The record is from RNAcentral.